AAUUGUCAGGCAAUAAACUUUUUUUUAAAGUUGCAAUCGUAUUAAUACAUAAUCAUGUGUCACUUCUUCCUUGUUGAUGUUAUACUAAAGAUAUUUUAUCAUUCUUUUAUUUAACAGAUAUAUUGGAGUCCUCCUAUUACAUAAAAAGUAACUAAACCUUACUUAAACUUCUAAAUUUAGUGUCAUGGACUUGUCAUUAAAAGGGUGACUAUG
This 213-nucleotide long non-coding RNA is filed under the name Bos taurus (domestic cattle). RNAcentral's name for it is "long non-coding RNA NONBTAT006264". Lineage: Eukaryota; Metazoa; Chordata; Mammalia; Artiodactyla; Bovidae. The record is from RNAcentral.